RNAcentral lists this ribosomal RNA (253 nucleotides) under uncultured bacterium. Its description in RNAcentral is "partial 16S ribosomal RNA". It matches the Rfam family "Bacterial small subunit ribosomal RNA", at positions 524 to 776 of the family's 1533-position model. The record is from RNAcentral.
UACGAAGGGGGCUAGCGUUGUUCGGAAUUACUGGGCGUAAAGCGCACGUAGGCGGAUACUUAAGUCAGGGGUGAAAUCCCGGGGCUCAACCCCGGAACUGCCUUUGAUACUGGGUAUCUCGAGUCCGGAAGAGGUGAGUGGAAUUCCGAGUGUAGAGGUGAAAUUCGUCGAUAUUCGGAGGAACACCAGUGGCGAAGGCGGCUCACUGGUCCGGUACUGACGCUGAGGUGCGAAAGCGUGGGGAGCAAACAGG